RNAcentral lists this small nucleolar RNA (93 nucleotides) under Jaculus jaculus (lesser Egyptian jerboa). Lineage: Eukaryota; Metazoa; Chordata; Mammalia; Rodentia; Dipodidae. The record is from RNAcentral.
GGGUCCCUGUGAUGUCUAGCACUGGGCUCUGACCACACCUUGAGGACUUGGUGCUCCCCCAGGACCUUUGACACCUGGGGGUCUGAGGGACCC